GUUAAGGGAACAUCUGUCCAUCAGAGGAAACAUCCUGGGGUCUGAAAAUUAAAUAAAAGUGUUCAAUUUAAACUAUCUCUCCUUGCUUCCUCUGUAACUGCUUUAAACCUACCCCCACGCCAGCUCCUCCUGAUAUAAUGUCUGAUUGUACUUCUAUCAUAUGUGUUGUCACUGAUGCCUGCUCUGUUCAUUUGUUUUUUGCUGCUGCUUUUCAUAAAUGCACAUGAAACAGAGGGAAGGUGAGCUCUGCCCUCUUCAUGAUUUAGUAAUCCACAUGAGUACUUAGAGGGGCAAGAAGCUCUUAAAACUAUUGCAUGCAAACAAUAAAUUAGUUUUUAUGGCAGUGGUCGUGACCAAAACAAGAGUGGUGUUACUUAAUGCAAGACACAGAAAUAAUGAGGAGCUGCUGUGAUCAGCUGAAAGGCUGCUGGUUUAAUUAUUGUCUCCAUUCUCUUUCAAACCAGGCGGAGCAUUUAGACAAGUCUUUUUUCUGCACCAAAUGCUGCUUACUCUGCUGGCUGGUGAGUUUCAUAUCAUGUUAACCCUCUUGCUUAUUAUCAGGUUUGAAUGUUUCUCUGUGUGAUAUUUCAGCCUGACUUUAGGACACUUAAUACUAAACCAACAUCCUUCUUUGUUUAGUUUCUCUUUUAACCGUUGCAACAAAAGACCAUACAAUGUACUUAACUCCACUAAUUAUAAACUGCUUUGUGAAAUCUUGCUCUCAGGUGACCCAGAAUAAAUUUUACUGUAAUUCAUGUUUACAGAAAUUUCAUGAGUCUGAAGUCUUGAUCAUAGAUGAUAAUAGUGAGAUAAUAAUCACAAAUAGACUCAGAGAAUAGACACAACAAGAGCUGCAGCCUUUAAUAUUUACAGUCAAAAUAGACUUUUAAAUCACAUAGAGACAACAGGCUUGGACAGACGAUUUCCUGAUAAGGGGGAGCUGACCUUUUAAACAGCCACUCUGCACUGACUAUUUCUGUAGCAGACUAAGCAGUGUGUGUCUGAUAUCCACAUCAACCUGCAGAAAUCAAUAUUUUAAAUAAAUACAGAACAUUUAGUUUCUCCUGAGUUACAAAUAAAAGAGAUUAUACAAUAACAUGGGAAAAUUAAUGUGGAUCUACAGCCGUGUUGUCAGGAGACAUGGAAGAGUUUUUUCUACAUGAGUGGAUAACAUUUGACUCUUCAGUAUUACGCCAGACUGCUCUCCUCUGCCGCCCCCAAGUGGUGGAAUGAAUGACCAAACUCCAACAGAUCUGCAAAGUCUCUUUCCACCUUUAAAAAAGCUAAAGAGUCAGCUCUUUGGGGGACACUAACUCAGACUCCAAAAGCCAAACAGACCCCAAUGAUACCAGUAGGAACAAACGUGUUUACAGCCUGAUGCAAAACAGUCUCAUCAUAUUUUAUAACUCAUGAGUUUUGAGGCCAUAAAAAAUUAGUGGCUAUUAUACCUGUGAUGUUUGUUCCGGACUCUCUGACUUUUCUGUUUUGUCUGAAUGAAAAUGAUAGCAAAAGUUAGGAAAGUUUAUUUUAUUCUGGAUCAAGUUAUACCUCUCUAUUGACAACUCAUCUUUUCAAGAGUUUUACUACUCAAACUUUUCUCCUGAGCCAGUGUUGCAAUGACUCGCAGGAUUGGUCUCCAUCAAAGUGUCAUUACUGCCCGCUCCUCCUUAUAGCUCUCCUUUUUUUCUCUUUCUUCUGUAUCUGUAUCUCUAUCUGACUAAGACAUUAGCACACUUGUGGUUUGCAAGGAUAAGGCCUUGCUCAAUUUCACAUCUUUGCCUCCUGCAAAGUUAACAAAAAUUCAGGUUGAUUCAGCAUUUCUAACAAAGCAACUGCUGAGGUAAGGCUCAAUAAGAGCAAACAUCACUCAGAAUAUAUAUCCAUGUCUUAUAUGAUCUCUGCUGACAGCAUGCUGAAGGAACAGCCUUUAUUUACAAUAUCAACAGCAAAGACUUACAAAAAGAGACACAACUGACUGUUGGAGGCUGCAGGAUGGGAGACUUUCAUCAGAGUCAAACUCUAGCCUGUACAACACAAGAUCAGCUAAGUGAUAUGAUGCACAUGUUUGCCCACAGGCAGCACCAAAAUCAAGUCAUUUCAAAAGUCCCUUACAGUAGCUUUAAAUUUCUUUGUGAUCCAGAUCCUCAAAACUCUCUUUGAAAGCUGUAAACUGGAUUUCUCUCCUUAGAUAAAUCUGUCUGAGUCCAACAAGUCUGCGCUCCAGUUUCAUCUGGUGUUAAUGUUUAACCGCUCAGACUCUGAUAUCUGAGUCUCUUCUAACACACAUUGAUAUACAGCAGUCAGUGCUCAGGAUUUUUUUUUUUUUUAUGACACUUCGCGAAAGUGGUCAUCUUGGUGAUGAAAAGUUUCCUGAUUAAUUUUUUUUUUUUUCUGCAGCUCUCUCAGUACUUGGACUGAUAGAUGAAUAACUUUUAAAUUUACAGUCUCACUUAAUGUUAACACUGCUCUAGAGUUAAUUAAAUCUAUUGAUUAAGCCUUAAGCAUUGAUCAGGCAACUUUAUAACUUUAACAACUGAGCAUUUGCCAAACGUUCACAGUACAGUGGAAGGAAAUUAACUUUGCCAUCGAGAAAAAAGUGAUUUGUUUAAAUUAUGUUCUGGGUUAUAUUCUGUGUAAUAAGUUUCUAAAGUUUGUCCACAGCUCCAUUGGCUUUGCUGGCGGAGGCGGGAUUUAUGACCUAUACUGCAGCCCGUCACCAGAGGGUACUGUUCUCGGAGUGGCUUCACCCAGCGAGGAGGCAGACGGCGUCCAUUCUAUAUCCAGUCCAUGUAUUUUUGUAUUUUGUAUUUUUGCUGCUCUACGCUUCCAAUGCACAUUAAUCCACACAGACAGGAUCAUUCUAGACAGGAAGUCACGCACGAAAACUGCGCAUGUCAUCCGGUAUUUCAGAAUAAAACACUAUAUGUGAACUCCCACCUGGGAAUCAGUUUGUGUAGAUGACAAAUAGUUCCUGGUUAUGGAUUUAUCAGUAACAAUCCGAUGGUCUAUCUCUGAUCCAUGUGGACCCCAACAGGACUUUUAGCUGCUAACUCUGUCUGAAGGUAACAGCACAGCAUAAAGGAACAUAGUUUACUAUAUCAAGCACAAGAAAACCUGCAAAAACCAAAACUGUAAAAUCAUGUUCCUUUUUCACAUAUAGUAGAAGCUCAACUGUCACUGAAUUAUAUCCAAAUUAGCAGGAAAUAGACCACAGAAAGGUAAAACAACCUGUUGUGUGCAUGUUGUUUCCGCCUUACUGAGCCCAGCUGACUGGAGCUGAUCUACGCUGCUGCUACACUCCAAAUGAGCAUCCUGUAUGCGAUACCCAGGGCUGCUCUACGGAGCAAAUAGAGAACGCACUCAUUACGGAUACUGUAUGUUUUUUUUCCUCAGGAGCCUCUCCUUCUUGGUCAGGCUCUGGAACAAACUGGUACGUCUGGACCACAGCAGUUCUGUGAGCCAUACCUAGCACUCUGUGUAAACAUUAGCGCACAGUACCAUACUGCAAGCCACGCCCCCCUCUUCCAGAGAGACAGGAAGGGGCGUGGCUUGCGCUGAAAGGCAUGGACAGGCGCAGCACACAGAAAUGGUGUGUUCUCGGUAGAGCUCACUAGAGAGAGUUUUCAAGCUGACUGAAGUCCAGGAAAAAACUGGGUUCUUAGACAAACUUCAAAUUGACUGCUGUGGGACCUCUGAGACCUAUGUGAACCUGCUGAACCUGAUGAUCGAAUCAACAGCAGUUCAGUUUAAAUUGAAACCAUGAGAGGAUUGUUAUCCACUUUUUUUGUGGCAUUUUUUGUUAACUAACUAAAAACAGUAAAGACAGAAUUUUCACAGAUAAGAUUUGCUGUUUGACAGUAAAAGUGGUUUUCUGUCAUAUUUCUGUUUUUAAUGGUAGGAAAGAAUAAAACACUUAAAUUUCAAAUGAAUUUAUUUGAUUGUAAACUAACAGUGAAAUCGAAGAAUACAAACUGUGACGCCUUGAUUAUUAUCGCGCUGUGGUUGGACUUGAAUAGAAAGAAAUCAGAUCAAGCUGCAGUUUCUGAUAUCCAGAGAUAGCUCGUAUGAGUACUGACUCAUGAAACAUAUCAUAAUUCUACAUCUCCUUCUUAAUGUGACAUUGUGGCAUUUGCCGCACAGAUAACACUGAAAAGAGAGUUUACAUUUAUCCUCCAAUCACCUACUCUGAAAGUGUGUACAUGUUCCAUCAGCCGGACUUUGACCAACAUAAUGAUUAAAGCAUCACGACCUGCAUCUAAUACUUACACUUUUAUGAAUAAAUUUCUCAAUAAAAGUAGAAGAAGCAGAUACAGCAGGAUAAAAAAAAAAAAAGACUCUGGGCAGUUUUUAGCUGCAGUAGACUUUUUAGAUUAUAUUAGUAAGCUUCUUACUGACGGUCUUCUAUAUGAAAUUAGUUGGAGAAAAGACUUGAAGCUUUGGUUAACAGCUGAGAGCAGGUUGAGGUUGAGCAGAUUUAUGGAGAAAAAAACAGAGGGACAGUUAUGAUCUUUAAGAAUUAAGAGGAUGCAGUGGUUCUCAAGUCCAGUCCUUGAGGCCCACUGUCCUCAGCUCGUUAUCAAGCUCUGUAAUGGCUUAAUAACGAGCUAAUCAUUUAAAUCAGGUGUGUUGGAGCAGAAAAAAAAAAAAAAUACCUGCAGGACAGUGGGCCUCGAGGACUGGACUUGAGAACCACAGAUGUAGGUGAAGAGGGCUGCAGCACCACAGCAGCAGCAACAUAAAGUUACAGUACUCUGCUCAGGAAAAAGUUUCUUUCUCUUUGACUUUUUCAUAUUUAAUUUAAAAAACUGAAAUGCUGUGACAAACUUUAACCUGGAGCCUGAGACUAGAGGGCCUUUUGCAGAGGGAGGGUCUCUUGUAGUUUUGAUACACAUUAUGCAGAACUGAGCAGGUACAGAGCAGGAAACUUACAGAGAUUUAACAAAACUACCUGAAGGCAGUGUGACGCCUCAGGUAUUCAUCUUUAACUGAUGUGUUUUUGUUCUUCUCUGGUGUCAGAGAAUACACACUAAAAAAAAAAA
This 5039-nucleotide long non-coding RNA is filed under the name Xyrichtys novacula (pearly razorfish). The record is from RNAcentral. Lineage: Eukaryota; Metazoa; Chordata; Actinopteri; Labriformes; Labridae.